Molecule: long non-coding RNA, 4502 nt
Organism: Marmota monax (woodchuck)
Lineage: Eukaryota; Metazoa; Chordata; Mammalia; Rodentia; Sciuridae
Exons: 7
Source: RefSeq, a predicted model, not a curated record
CCAAACCUACCCUAUCUUACCCAGAACCCUCAGGGGCUGCAGCUCCCAGGAUCCUUUGUAGUAACUGAGCUGCACUACAUUACCCACAAUCCUCAGGGGCUGCAGCUCCCAGAACCCUCUUUGGUGACUGAGCAAGCCCUGGACUGAAGUACCCACAACCCUAAGGGGGAAUUUAGCUCCCAGAACCCUCUGAUGUGAGUGGGCAGAACUACGUGACUCACUACCCUCAAGGGCUGUAGCUCUAAGGAUCCUCUGUGGUGAGAACGGGAGGCAGAGAAGUUAACUAUACUACCUGGAAUCCUUUUGGGGAGGUGUUGUCCAGGUGUUGAACUCAGAGGUGCUUAACAACUGAGCCACAACCCAGCCCUGUUCAGUUUCUAUUUUGAGGCAGGGUCUUGCCAAGUUGCUUAGGGUCUGAGUAAAUUGCUGAGACUAACCUUGAACUUGUGAUCCUCCUGCCUCAGCCUCCAGAGCCACUGGGAUUUCAGAUAAUGAACAUUUGAAAUAAAGUCAGAAUUUGUUAAAGGGCAAAUGACAGCCAGCCUUGAGCCCUGAUGAUCCCAGGAUCCCAUCCAGUGGGAGAACUCUAAAUUCAGUCCAAGGUAUCUUUGGAGACUGGAUGUGCAGCUCAGUGGCAGAGCACUUACCUGGCAUGUGAGAGCCCAUGGAGUCCAUCCCAGAAGAUGUCUUUGACAGGACUCAAGCAUGAGAGAAAGAUACCAUGGCCUGGGAAUGCCUGGUGGAUAUAUCUAUGGUGAGGACCAGAACUUCCUUCUCCUUGGCACCUACCCAUGGAGACUCCACUGUGGAUUCAGGAUGACUGAGGUCCAUGUGAGGAAAACAUGAGGAAGAAGCUUCCUGUGCACUGCCUGGUGUGCUGAGAAGUAUCUUUGGAGACUGGAUGUGCAGCUCAGUGGCAGAGCACUUGUGUGGCAUGUGAGAGGCCAUGGAGUCCAUCCCAGCACCACACAUACAGAAGAUGUCUUUGACAGGACUCAAGCAUGAGAGGAGCUGUGUGCCUGAGAUCAAGGCCAAAGCUGAUAAGACUCCAGCACAAAGCCUUCUAAUGCAGGACAUUGCUAUAGCAGGUAGGCAUCCCGUGUCUUUGCACAGAAGUUUUCCUAGCAUCCAGGCAUUCCACAUCUUUGCACAGAAACUUCCUAGCCACCAAGUAUGCCACAUUCAUGAAGCCAUCAGAGACCCCAGUCCCAAACACAGAACCCUUACAAUUAAGGCCAAAGGGAAGCUGUUAUAUCAGUUUUACAUGCUAUAAUGUGGACAUAAUAUUAGUUUUAAAACUGAAGAGCUGCCUGUGACCUUUUAAUACAAACAUGUCAUCCAUACUAUGAAAUUAUAAUGGAUAUAAUAGCUCUUUUGUGGACUGUAUAACUAAUAUGGUAUCCAUAUUAAGGCAUCAAAAACUGACAUAGUAGCUGAAAUGUGUAAUUUAGUGUUAAUAUUAUAUCCAUACUAUGGACCUAAAACUAAUCACAUACCUUUCCUGUGGUCUUUCAUUUUAAUACAAUAUCCAUAUUAUAGCAUCUAAAACUAAUAUAAUAGCUGCCCUGUGGCUUUUAGAACUAAUAUGAUAUCCAAAUUAUAACAUUUGCCAAAGACCCUUAAUAUUAACAUGAUAUUGAUAAACUAGCAUCUAAAACUAAUAAAAUAUUUGCCUGUGACCUUUAAUACUAAUAUGAUAUUCACAUAUACCAUCUAAAGCAAUAUAUUAACUUGCCUAUGGCCUUAAAUAUUAAUAUAAUAUUCAUACUGUGACAUAAAAAACUAUAUAAUAGCUACCCUGUGAAUUUUUUUUAAAUAUUGUUUUAGUAGUUGAUGGACACAAUUCCUUUACUUUAUUUAUGUUUUUUAAUGUGGUGCUGAGGAUUGAACUCAGUGCCUCACAUGUGCUAGGCAGGCGCUCUACAAAUGAGCCACAACCCCAGACCAACUACCCUGUGACUUUAAUAAUAAUAUAACAUCCAUAACUUUUAAUAAUAAUAUAACCCAUAAAACUAAUAUUGUAAAUUCCCUGUGUAUUAUAUUAAUAUAAUCAUUAUAUUAUCAUUAUAUUAUUAUUAAUUAUUAUAUUAAUAUAACAUCCUUGGUAUAGUAUCUAAAACUGAAUAGCUCUUCUAUGGCCUUUAAUACUAAUAAAACAUCCAUACUAUAGCUGUUAAAAGUGGCAUAAUAGUUUUCUUGCAGCCUUUCAUAGUAUACUAACAUGAUAUCCAUACUCUACCAUCUAAAUAUAAUAAAAUAGCUUCCCUGGAGUCUUUAAUAAUAAUGUAAUAUAGUACUACAGCAUCUAAAACAAAUAGAAUAGCUGCCAUGUGGCCUUCAAUACUAUCUUAUUCAUAUUAUUAGAUAAUACUGACAAAAUAGCUGCACUGUGGAUCUUUAACACAAACAUGAUAGCCAUAUAAUGGCAUGUAAAACUGAUACAACAGCUGUCCUGUGACCUUUAGUACUAACUUUAUCCAUAUGAUAGCUUUGAAAAUUGAUAUAUUACCUGCCUGUGGAUUUAGUGUUAAUAUUUUAUCCUUACUAUGGCAUCUAAAACUAAUUUAAUAGGUUCCCUGUGGAUUUUAGUACUAAUAUAAUAUUCAUAUUAUAGAAUCUAAAUCUAAUACAAUAUCUGCCUUGUGAUCUUUAAUACUAAUAAGAUAUCCAUACAAUAGAACCUAAAAUUAAUAUUAUAGGUGUCCUGUGGGCUUAAAUACUGAUAUGAUAUUCAUAUUAUAGCAUCAAAAUUGAAUAUAGUAACUGCCUGUGUUUUUUAAUUCUAAUAUGAUAUGCAUAUUAUUAUAUCAAAACCUAAGAUAAUGUAUGCCAUGAAGCUUUUAAUAAUAAGAUAUUCAUAUUAUAGUAUGUGAAAUGAAUAGCUGCACUGCCUCCUUUAUUACUAAUAUAAUACUCAUCCUUUAGCAUCUAAAUCUGAUAUAAUAAUUGCCUUGUUGCCUUUAUUACUAAUAUAAUAUAUAAUAAUAUCUAAUUACUACUAAUAUAAUAUCCAUAAAAUAGUGUAUAACUGUAAUGUAAUAGCUGCAAAGUGGCUUUUAUUAUUAACUCAAACUCCAUUCUAUAACUCCUUAAACUAGUAGCUUGUUGUGGCCAUUAAUAUUUAUAAAAGAAGUAUCCUGUGGCUUCUAGUACUAAUAUAAUAGGUAGCCUUGAAUAUUAAUAUAAUAUCCAUAUUAUGAACUCAAAAACAAAUAUACUAGCUGCCCUGUGAUCUUCAAUAUUAAUAUACAAUCUGUACUAUAGCAUAUAAAACUAAUAUCAUGGCUGCUUUGUGGUCUUUAACUAAGAUGAUAUCCAAACUAAAGCAUUUGAAGCUUACAUAAUUGUUGCCCUUUGGCAUUUAAUAUUAAUAGUAUAUCCAUAACAGAACAUCUAGAACUAAUAUACCUUUAAUACUAAUACUGUAUUUCCAUUGGUAUUAAAGAUCACAUUAUGUAUGUUAUAUUAAUAUUGAAGGCCACAGUUCAGCUAUUCUAUUGGUAUUAAAUGUGACUGGGUGGGUGUGUAUAUACUAAUAUUUAUGACCUCUAAUACUAACAUAAAAUCCAAAAUAUAGCAUUGGAAACAGACAUAAUAUUUUCCCUAUGGCCUUUAAUACUAAUAUAAUGUACAUAUCAGAAUAUCUGAAACUGAUAUAAUGACUACCCUGUGCCUUUAGUAUUAAUAUGAUAUUCACACUAUAUCAUUUAAAGCUAAUGUAAUAGCUGCUCUGUGUUUUCCAAUACUAACAUGAUAUUCAUAUCAUAUCAUCUAAAAACAACAUAACCACUGCCUUGUGCCUUGAAUACUAAUACAGUAUUCAUGCUAUACCCAAUAAAAUAAUGGCUACCCUUCAGCCUUUAAUAAUAAUAUGAUGUGAGUAUACUAGCAUCUAAAAUUGAUAAUAGCUGCUCCAUGGCCUUUAAUAUUGAUAUAACAUCCAUACUUGGCUUAUGAAACUAAAAUAAUAGUUGUCCUUUGUUCUUUUAAAACAAACACAGAAUCCAUACUGUAGUAUCUACAACUGAUAUAAAUAAUAGCUGCUCUGUGGCCUUUAUAACUAAUAUGAUUUCCAUACUAUAGUAUCUAAAAUUAAUAUAAUUGCUGCUCUGAAGAAUUUAAGAUUAACACAAUGUGCAAACUGUAGCACCUAAAACUACUUGCUGUCCUGUGUACUUUAACACCAAUAUGGUAUCCCAUAUUAUAGAAUCAAAUAUUAUACAUUAAGUGUACUGUGAUUUUAAUAGUUAUAUAUUCAUACUGUAUCAACUAAAGCUGAUAUAAUAUCUGCCCUGUGAUGUUGAAUAAUUAUGCAAUAGCCAUACUGUCCAUACUAAAGUCUCUUAAACUAAUAUAAUGGUGAGUCUCUGGCCUUUAGUACUUAUAAAAACAUGUACACUUUAGCAUGUCAAACUGUUCUAAUAGCUGCCCUGUGGCCUUUAAUAUUAAUGUAAUAUCCAUAUUACAGCAUCUAAGGCUCAUAAGAUAGAUGAACUUUAACC